UGAGAUGUUCGGUUAAGUCCGCUAACGAGCGCAACCCUCGCUGUAUGUUACAUGUGUCAUACAGGACCGCCGGUAUCAAGCCGGAGGAAGGUGGGGAUGACGUCAAGUCCGCAUGGCCUUUAUGUCCGGGGCUACACACACGCUACAAUGGUCGGUACAAUGGGUUGCUAAGCCGCGAGGUGGAGCCAAUCCCCCAAAGCCGGCCUCAGUUCAGAUUGCAGGCUGCAACUCGCCUGCAUGAAGCUGGAGUUGCUAGUAAACGCGCGUCACGCUACUAGUGCGGUUAGAAUAACGGUUCUCGGGCCGUU
Molecule: ribosomal RNA, 308 nt
Filed under: uncultured Anaerolineaceae bacterium
Lineage: Bacteria; Bacillati; Chloroflexota; Anaerolineae; Anaerolineales; Anaerolineaceae
Description: bacterial SSU rRNA
Rfam family: Bacterial small subunit ribosomal RNA
Source: RNAcentral